This 397-nucleotide ribosomal RNA is filed under the name bacterium enrichment culture. RNAcentral describes it as "bacterial SSU rRNA". It matches the Rfam family "Bacterial small subunit ribosomal RNA", at positions 521 to 916 of the family's 1533-position model. The record is from RNAcentral.
UAAUACGUAGGGAGCAAGCGUUAUCCGGAUUUACUGGGUGUAAAGGGCGAGUAGGCGGACUGGCAAGUCAGAAGUGAAAUCUGGGGGCUUAACCCCCAAACUGCUUUUGAAACUGCUGGUCUUGAGUGAUGGAGAGGCAGGCGGAAUUCCCAGUGUAGCGGUGAAAUGCGUAGAUAUUGGGAGGAACACCAGUGGCGAAGGCGGCCUGCUGGACAUUAACUGACGCUGAGGCGCGAAAGCGUGGGGAGCAAACAGGAUUAGAUACCCUGGUAGUCCACGCCGUAAACGAUGGAUACUAGGUGUGGGAGGUAUUGACCCCUUCCGUGCCGACGUUAACACAUUAAGUAUCCCACCUGGGGAGUACGGCCGCAAGGUUGAAACUCAAAUGAAUUGACGG